CCUACGGGAGGCAGCAGUGGGGAAUAUUGGACAAUGGGCGCAAGCCUGAUCCAGCAAUGCCGCGUGAGUGAUGAAGGCCUUCGGGUCGUAAAGCUCUUUUACCCGGGAUGAUAAUGACAGUACCGGGAGAAUAAGCUCCGGCUAACUCCGUGCCAGCAGCCGCGGUAAUACGGAGGGAGCUAGCGUUGUUCGGAAUUACUGGGCGUAAAGCGCACGUAGGCGGUUAUUCAAGUCAGAGGUGAAAGCCCGGGGCUCAACCCCGGAACUGCCUUUGAAACUAGAUGACUAGAAUCUUGGAGAGGUCAGUGGAAUUCCGAGUGUAGAGGUGAAAUUCGUAGAUAUUCGGAAGAACACCAGUGGCGAAGGCGACUGACUGGACAAGUAUUGACGCUGAGGCGCGAAAGCGUGGGGAGCAAACAGGAUUAGAUACCCUGGUAGUCCACGCCGUAAACGAUGAUAACUAGCUGUCCGGGUACUUGGUAUUUGGGUGGCGCAGCUAACGCAUUAAGUUAUCCGCCUGGGGAGUCGGUCGCAAGAUUAAAACUCAAAUGAAUUGACGGCUGAGAGNGCGAGCGACGACGAGGAGAG
RNAcentral lists this ribosomal RNA (588 nucleotides) under uncultured bacterium. RNAcentral describes it as "bacterial SSU rRNA". It matches the Rfam family "Bacterial small subunit ribosomal RNA", at positions 338 to 944 of the family's 1533-position model. The record is from RNAcentral.